RNAcentral lists this non-coding RNA (20 nucleotides) under Arabidopsis thaliana (thale cress). The record is from RNAcentral. Lineage: Eukaryota; Viridiplantae; Streptophyta; Magnoliopsida; Brassicales; Brassicaceae.
GCACCAGUUUGUUGUCCGCC